GGGGAGGUUUUCAUGCAGUCGAACGGAUCUGUACUGAAACCUAGUGAUUUACAGGUUAGUGGCGGACGGGUGAGUACCGCGUGGAAAACCUGCCGUAUACUGGGGGAUAACACUUAGAACUAGGUGCUAAUACCGCAUAAGCGCACAGACCCGCAUGGGACAGUGUGGAAAACAAAAAGCUAAAGCUUUUUAUGGUAUACGAUGGUUCCGCGUCUGAUUAGCUUGUUGGCGGGGUAACGGCCCACCAAGGCGACGAUCAGUAGCCGGCCUGAGAGGGUGAACGGCCACAUUGGGACUGAGACACGGCCCAGACUCCUACGGGAGGCAGCAGUGGGGAAUAUUGCACAAUGGGGGAAACCCUGAUGCAGCGACGCCGCGUGAGUGAAGAAGUAUCUCGGUACGUAAAGCUCUAUCAGCAGGGAAGAAAAAAAGUCUUUGGCUUUGGACGGUACCUGACUAAGAAGCCCCGGCUAACUACGUGCCAGCAGCCGCGGUAAUACGUAGGGGGCAAGCGUUAUCCGGAUUUACUGGGUGUAAAGGGAGCGUAGACGGCAGCGCAAGUCUGGAGUGAAAUGCCGGGGCUCAACCCCGGAACUGCUUUGGAAACUGUGCAGCUAGAGUGCGGGAGAGGUAAGCGGAAUUCCUAGUGUAGCGGUGAAAUGCGUAGAUAUUAGGAGGAACACCAGUGGCGAAGGCGGCUUGCUGGAUCGUAACUGACGUUGAGGCUCGAAAGCGUGGGGGAGCAACAAG
Molecule: ribosomal RNA, 750 nt
Filed under: uncultured bacterium
Lineage: Bacteria
Description: bacterial SSU rRNA
Rfam family: Bacterial small subunit ribosomal RNA
Source: RNAcentral